ACCUUCAGAGCACCUAGACUUCCUUACUGUGAAGCACAGUGGGAAGUUUUUGAGUGGUUUCUGAGAUGCAGGGCGACGCUAACUCUUUUUGUUUGAGGGAAAGUGAUGUUUCUACUUAAAGAUCAGCUUUUUCCCCAAUGCUCGGAUAGUCACCGACGGGUUUUUACGAGAAAAACGCACUUAUAAGAACCGGCUGGGUGAACAUAUGAACGCCAGAGUUCAGACCCAAAGCCCGCCUUUAACUCUUGCCUUAAAACAGGCAGCGGAGGCUCAGCCGGAGGGAUUUUCUUUGCGUGACUCCCCUAGGCGCAGAGGCAAGCAGGGGAUGGAUCUUCUCCUGACGCAUCCGAGUUCCGCAUCCGACUCAUCCCGACAGGUCCCUGUCGUCACCUCGCUAUGGAUUGCUGCUGUGCCUUGCCGCUAGGAAGAUGCGUGCGGUUAAAUGAUGUCAUCUCGGGCUCCUGCUGCAGCUUUCCAAAACGUUUGCAUCGGGUUAUAGAACCAGGGAAGAAAAGGUCCGUGUGGCCAGAGCUGCUGCAAAACAUGAAACACAAUUCAUGGGCGUCUGUCACCUGCCAAAUAAAGAAGAUGGAACAGCCUGUCCACAAACCCGACAAGUACACUAGAUCUCCGCUACAUCACGAGCGUUUGGUUGAAGAUAUGCAUUCAGGUGUCUCUUCCACGGACAGAACACGGCUCACCCCCUGGAGAAAAGCAUUACUGCAGUGUACUGUAUUUCACAAGCGGUGGUAUAUUCAGUAAGAGCAUAAGAAUUCACACUGUGGAAAUGGGCUUCACAAUCAGUGUGCCCCGUGAGCCACCUCCUGGGCAUGACGGGCGAUGCUGGGAAGGCCCUUCCAGUAGAAGGUGAAGACAACAUCUUUGACGACGCCCACUGAAAU
This is a long non-coding RNA of Gymnogyps californianus (California condor), 902 nucleotides long. RefSeq lists it as uncharacterized. NCBI's taxonomy places the organism in Eukaryota, Metazoa, Chordata, Aves, Accipitriformes, Cathartidae. The transcript has 5 exons. The record is from RefSeq and is a predicted model, not a curated record.